RNAcentral lists this long non-coding RNA (245 nucleotides) under Lathyrus oleraceus (garden pea). RNAcentral describes it as "Pisum sativum (pea) long non-coding RNA (PSAT_LNC040422)". Lineage: Eukaryota; Viridiplantae; Streptophyta; Magnoliopsida; Fabales; Fabaceae. The record is from RNAcentral.
UUUUUUAAAAUAACUAUUAAAGAAAAAAGAAAAUUAAUUUUAAAAGAUAAAAAAAAAGAAUUUGUGAAUAAAGGUAAAUAAACUUUAAAAACCUCAUGCUUGUACUCCUUGUUCUCAAUCAAAUGGGCUAUUCCAAUUAUUCAAAAUAAAAUUCCAUUAAAAAUAGUAUAAUUUAAAUACUUAAUGAAUUAUUUAACUUUACUGAUUAAUCAUAAUCAAAUAAAUUCUAAUUAAUAAUAAUAAAC